GCUUCGCGCAGCUGUCCGCAAGCCUUGCGCGCCCAGGGGAACUCCCCCCCGCGUGCACGGCUUGCGGGCGGCAGCCAGCAGCGCGGAGCACGGGGCGCCCUCCGUAGGAGGCUGCGGAGGGUGGCGCGGAGCUGCCCGCGCUCCAGGGCUUCUUGCAGCUCCGCGCCACCCCCGGAUCCCGGUGCGAAGCCGCGCGGGGCUGCGGAGGGUGGCACGGAGCUGCCUGCGCUCCAGGGCUUCUUGCAGCUCCGCGCCACCCCCCGGAUCCCGGCGCGAAGCCGCGCGGGGCUGCGGAGGGUGGUGCGGAGCUGCCUGCGCUCCAGGGCUUCUUGCAGCUCCGCGCCACCCCCCGGAUCCUGGCGCGAAGCCGCGCGGGGCUCCGGAGGGUGGCGCGGAGCUACCUGGGCUCCAGGGCUUCCUGCAGCUCUGCACCACCCUCUGGAUCCUGGCGCGAAGCCGCGCGGGGCUCCGGAGGGUGGUGCGAAGCUGCCUGCGCUCCAGGGCUUCUUGCAGCUCCGCGCCACCCCCCGGAUCCCAGCGCGAAGCCGCACGGGGCUCUGGAGGGUAGCGCAGAGCUGCCUGCAUCCCGAAGCCUGGUGCGCGCUGAAGAGCGCCCCCGGGCUUCACGCACCUCUCCGCAAGCCUGGGGAGACCAGUGUGGCUCCCUAGGCUUGCGGAUAUCAGGCUGUUCUGGGGGCUGGGGUCGGGGGAAGCUUGGGCUUCCCCCGCGCCUGCCCCGUGCCUGGGGAGGGGAAUUUUUUUUUUUCUUUAUUCUCCCCCCAAAAAAUUAGGUGCGUCUUAUGGGGCGGUGCGUCCUAUGGGGCGAAAAAUAUGGUAGUCAAUAUAGGCACAGAGUUAAAUUUUUAACAUUUUCUAAUGGUGGUGUGCCUCGAGAUUUUUUUCAUGAAACAAGUGUGCCUUUGCCCAAAAAAGGUUGGGAAACACUGUUCUACACAUUCACAGCACUUGGGGGGAAAGGAGCAGUUCUCACCUCACACUGAGCCACCACUGUACAGGAAUGCAUU
Molecule: long non-coding RNA, 1025 nt
Filed under: Podarcis muralis (Common wall lizard)
Lineage: Eukaryota; Metazoa; Chordata; Lepidosauria; Squamata; Lacertidae
Description: lncRNA (ENSPMRG00000008011.1)
Source: RNAcentral